UGAUAAUAAUAAUAAAUAUUUGUGUGUUUGUGUGUGUAUAUAUAUAUAUAAUUAUGAUCAGAGAUUCAUUUACCAUAAGGUGCAUUAGGCACAAACUGGGGCCUCACUCUAUGAGGCCAUGUUUUAAAACAUUACUCCUCACCAAUGAUAUUAAUGCUCCUCGCAAACAACAAUAUAAAAAAUGGUGCAGUUAUAGUUGUAAAAUAAAGUACUUAAAUAAAAGAACACACAGCGCUUCAUGCAGUGCGGCGGGGCUCCAAUUUUUAUUGGACAAGCAUUUUUGAAGUAUUAAUGCAUCCUCCUCGGGUC
Molecule: long non-coding RNA, 309 nt
Filed under: Androctonus crassicauda
Lineage: Eukaryota; Metazoa; Arthropoda; Arachnida; Scorpiones; Buthidae
Source: RNAcentral